Ribosomal RNA from Lepisosteus oculatus (spotted gar), 119 nucleotides. NCBI's taxonomy places the organism in Eukaryota, Metazoa, Chordata, Actinopteri, Semionotiformes, Lepisosteidae. The record is from Ensembl.
GCUUACGCCCACACCACCUUGAGCACGUCCAAUCUCAUCUGAUCUCAGGAGCUAAGCAGGAUCGGGCCUGGUUAGUACUUGGAAGAGAGACCGCCUGGGAAUACCAGGUGCUGUAAACU